AAUGGGGGCAACCCUGAUCCAGCCAUGCCGCGUGCGGGAGAAGGCCUUCGGGUUGUAAACCGCUUUUAGCCGGGACGAAAAGGGCACGGAUAACACCCGUGUUUUUUGACGGUACCGGCGGAAUAAGCACCGGCUAACUACGUGCCAGCAGCCGCGGUAAUACGUAGGGUGCGAGCGUUAAUCGGAAUUACUGGGCGUAAAGCGUGCGCAGGCGGUUCGUUGUGUCGGCGGUGAAAGCCCCGGGCUCAACCUGGGAAUGGCCGUUGAAACUGGCGAACUGGAGUGUGGCAGAGGGGGGUGGAAUUCCGCGUGUAGCAGUGAAAUGCGUAGAGAUGCGGAGGAACACCGAUGGCGAAGGCAGCCCCCUGGGCUGACACUGACGCUCAGGCACGAAAGCGUGGGGAGCAAACAGGAUUAGAUACCCUGGUAGUCCACGCCCUAAACGAUGUCGACUGGGUGUUGGGGAAGCGAUUUCCCAGUACCGUAGCUAACGCGUGAAGUCGACCGCCUGGGGAGUAC
Molecule: ribosomal RNA, 519 nt
Filed under: uncultured bacterium
Lineage: Bacteria
Description: bacterial SSU rRNA
Rfam family: Bacterial small subunit ribosomal RNA
Source: RNAcentral